RNAcentral lists this ribosomal RNA (253 nucleotides) under uncultured bacterium. Its description in RNAcentral is "partial 16S ribosomal RNA". It matches the Rfam family "Bacterial small subunit ribosomal RNA", at positions 524 to 776 of the family's 1533-position model. The record is from RNAcentral.
UACAGAGGGUGCAAGCGUUAAUCGGAAUUACUGGGCGUAAAGCGCGCGUAGGUGGUUUGUUAAGUUGGAUGUGAAAUCCCCGGGCUCAACCUGGGAACUGCAUUCAAAACUGACUGACUAGAGUAUGGUAGAGGGUGGUGGAAUUUCCUGUGUAGCGGUGAAAUGCGUAGAUAUAGGAAGGAACACCAGUGGCGAAGGCGACCACCUGGACUAAUACUGACACUGAGGUGCGAAAGCGUGGGUAGCAAACAGG